This 566-nucleotide long non-coding RNA is filed under the name Homo sapiens (human). Its description in RNAcentral is "HSALNT0164183". The record is from RNAcentral. Lineage: Eukaryota; Metazoa; Chordata; Mammalia; Primates; Hominidae.
GCUUGUAGCAAUUGAAUAAAAUAUAUCCCUGUGAACAAAAUUUGGAACAUACCUGAUUUCUCCAAAAUUUGGAAGCUAUUUAACCCAGCAUGCAAUGCUUGUCAACCCUUCACCAGCACUUUGGGAAGCCCAGGCAGGAGGAUCACUUGAGCCCAGGAGGUUGAGGCUGCAGCGAGCUAUGAUUGCACCACUGCACUCCAGCCUGUGUGACAGAACACGACCCUGUCUCUAAGAAAAUUUUAAAAAUCUACUAAAAGAGGCCGGGCACGGUGGCUCAUGCCUGUAAUCCUAGCACUUUGGGAGGCCCAGGCGGGCGGAUCACCUGAGGUCAGGAGCUCAAGACUGGCCUGACCAAAAUGGCGAAACCCUGUCUCUACUGAAAAUAUGAAAAAAUUAGCUGAGCGUGGUGAUGGGCACCUGUAAUCCCAGCUACUUGGGAGGCUGAGGCAGGAGAAUCGUUUGAACCUGGGAGGCAGAGGUUGCAGAGAGCCAAGAUCACACCACUGCUCUCCAGCCUGGGCAACAGAGUGAGAUUCUGCCUCAAAAUAAAUAAAUAAAUAAAUAAA